Bombardia bombarda is the source of this 97-nucleotide non-coding RNA. Lineage: Eukaryota; Fungi; Ascomycota; Sordariomycetes; Sordariales; Lasiosphaeriaceae. The record is from the annotation of a GenBank genome assembly.
GCCUUUAUAGCUCAGUGGUAGAGCGCGUCACUCGUAUCGAAUCCAAUUCAAGCAUUACGGCAUGACGAGGUCCACGGUUCAAUCCCGUGUGGAGGCA